CUACGGGAGGCACCAGUGGGGAAUAUUGGACAAUGGGGGAAACCCUGAUCCAGCAAUGCCGCGUGUGUGAAGAAGGCCUGCGGGUUGUAAAGCACUUUCGGUUGGGAGGACUGCUUCUAGCACUAAUAUUGUUGGAAGUUGACGUUACCUUCAGAAGAAGCACCGGCUAACUCCGUGCCAGCAGCCGCGGUAAUACGGAGGGUGCAAGCGUUAAUCGGAAUUACUGGGCGUAAAGCGCGCGUAGGCGGCUAGAUCAGUCGGGUGUGAAAGCCCCGGGCUUAACCUGGGAACUGCAUCCGAUAAUGUCUAGCUUGAGUACAGGAGAGGAGAGUGGAAUUCCACAUGUAGCGGUGAAAUGCGUAGAUAUGUGGAGGAACACCAAUGGCGAAGGCAGCUCUCUGGCCUGAUACUGACGCUGAGGUGCGAAAGCGUGGGGAGCAAACGGGAUUAGAUACCCUAGUAGUC
Molecule: ribosomal RNA, 465 nt
Filed under: uncultured bacterium
Lineage: Bacteria
Description: partial 16S ribosomal RNA
Rfam family: Bacterial small subunit ribosomal RNA
Source: RNAcentral